GAUGAAGAACGUAGCGAAAUGCGAUAAGUAAUGUGAAUUGCAGAAUUCAGUGAAUCAUCGAAUCUUUGAACGCACAUUGCGCCCGCCGGCACUCCGGCGGGCAUGCCUGUCCGAGCGUCAUUUCAACCCUCAGGACCCCCUUCCGGGGGGGACCUGGCGCUGGGGAUCAGCGGCCUCCGGGCCCCUGUCCCCCAAAUGCAGUGGCGGUCGCGCCGCAGCCUCCCCUGCGUAGUAGCACACCUCGCACCGGAGAGCGGCUCGGCCACGCCGUGAAACCCCCAAUUUUUCAAGGUUGACCUCGGAUCAGGUAGGAAUACCCGCUGAACUUAAGCAUAUCAAUAAGCGGAGGA
Molecule: unclassified non-coding RNA, 350 nt
Filed under: soil metagenome
Description: partial contains 5.8S ribosomal RNA, internal transcribed spacer 2, and large subunit ribosomal RNA
Rfam family: 5.8S ribosomal RNA (bases 1-120)
Source: RNAcentral